Non-coding RNA from Paramuricea clavata, 2103 nucleotides. Lineage: Eukaryota; Metazoa; Cnidaria; Anthozoa; Malacalcyonacea; Plexauridae. The record is from the annotation of a GenBank genome assembly.
AAUGUCACCAAGGGUGCAAUGACGAAGAUCAUUAUUGAGUAUCACCAAACUUAAAGAAAGAUCACAUUUAUUAUCAUGCCUGGAAAAGGUAAGCUUUCUCAAUAGAUUUAUGCAUUCUAGAAUAGAUUUCUCAAUAGAUUUAUGCAUUCUCAAUAGAUUUAUGCAUCUUAUGCGUUUUAUGAUAAUCAUAUUUUAUGUCAUGGAUGAAGACAUUACGAGGUUGCGCCCCCCAGUUUCUCCUCAGUUUUGACAGAAUUACAAAAUUGGUGCUGACGAAAAGUGGGGGGGGGGGCAGCGGACCCCACCAUUCCACCCGUGGGUACGACUCUUCGUUGUGGAAACAGAAACGGCAGGCAAAACAGUAUUUUGUAAAUAGAUUUAAUCUGGAUGAGCAAAAACAAACACAGUGAAUAGGCCCAAUGAAAUGAUCAAUCAUUGCAGCAAUGGGAGUAAACCGUGAACUACUAGAAUUGACGUCCAAUAUUCAUAGGAAGGUCGCCGAACCCCAUUUUCCGCAGCUAAUUCCAGUUUCUUCUAACGGACCGUAUCGCUAAACAGGUUAUCAGUUCAUGAAACCAUAGUGUUAUUCUUUAAAAGGAUGUCAAAAUACGAAAUUUCGACACACGUCUUGCUAGCCUGUGUCCCAGUCCACUGACUGCAACACAGGCUAACGUCUUGCCAGCUUCGUGCCAACCGCGCAGACAAAAUCAAUAGAAAGGGACUGGGUUGACGUCCAAUAGAUCUUCAAUUUCGCCAUCUUUGACCUUCGAUCACUUGUUGGACUCAAGUUCACGCUCCAGGUAUACAUCGAGCUCACUGUGAUAUCACAUUCUUUUGUAGGAAGUUCAUGAAGAAGGCAAGCUGCCAAAUGUGUUGGAAUCGCUAAAAAAAUCCUUCAAACGCCGAUCAAGCCAUUUGUUCCCGCGGAUAACUCGGAUUUGGUCGAAGGACACGCGUCUUCCCCCAGCCCGCAUCCUGAUCACCUGCCCAUAAACUACCAUCUAAAAACCAGUCCACAAAUGCAGUGAGAUGAAGGAGUGAUUUUUGUUAGAAAUUUCUUUGCUUUUUCCUAACCAGCAUUCAUAAAAAUUCUGACAUUUUAGCGUUUCGUAACGACGCAAUUCUUUUCAAAACGAGAAUUUCAUCCAUUCUUACAUUGCAGUAAGCAAGCUUGGCCGACUACCAACUGUUCGAGCAACAAACUAGAUAAGAAAUGACCGACUUAAAUUUUGUCUAAACUUAUCGUACAUUUGUAAAAUUAUACUUGAGCCAUCCACUUUCUCAACGACAGACGUUUGAAUAAUUUUGAAAACACUGCUUUGCUGGAAACGCCAAGUUCUUGUUGUCUUUUUAAGUCAGAGUUAUCUGCAAUCGUCAAAUGAUUUGUUGUGAUUCUAUCCAAUAUAGAGCAUUUGCACAUGAUGUCACAGCCGCCAUGCUGGUGUUCCAAUUCAAAAGAAUUUUAAUUAGACUCUUGUCUGGAACACCAAGAUGGCCGCCAUGGCUUUUGUUGAGUUGGUCCCUGGGGAAUGAGUGCAAACGCUCUCUCUAUUCAGCCAUUUGUUCAGCUGAUAAACUAAGAUAAUUAUUUGGCUUCUUUUCAACUAAAAGUAGUUUGGCUAACCUUUUUGGUAGAUCCUGGCUGGUCUAUCAAGCCAGUUUUUUCAAAAACAUACAAUCAACAAUUUUCUGUGAGAUACGAUCAUGCAUUUGAAAGCAACUGGAUUGCUUUGGACUAUACCAUCGUAUAAUAUAUUUUCUAGUCAGGCUAGUGGUUGAUACACUGACCUCUAUAUAUUAUUAUGGAUAUUAUUAAAAAAACUCAUGUUAAAAAUAUUCUUCCUUGCGACUGUAGAUUCGGUUGAGUGAAAAGGGCGAUCGCUCCAGCUAGCUGAUCGUCUAUAUAGGUAAUGUUUUAACCUUGUUAGCUUGGAAAGCCACGAGAAAAAAGGUCUAAAUGUAUAUUAUCGCAUUACACGUUGAAUUGAUAUCUAGACAUCUAGUAUGUGAAAAAUAUGACAGGUCAUUAAUUAUUGCAAAUUCCAUUGUACGAACAAUCAUAGUUUAUCUUGAUAUAUACACAAGUUAUUUAACAUUAAUGUG